GUGUGCACAUAUACUAAAAUUGGAAUGAUACAGAGAAGAUUAGCAUGGCCCCUGCACAAGGAUGGCAUGCAAAUUCAUGAAGCAUUCCAUAUUUUU
Molecule: small nuclear RNA, 96 nt
Filed under: Peromyscus maniculatus bairdii (prairie deer mouse)
Lineage: Eukaryota; Metazoa; Chordata; Mammalia; Rodentia; Cricetidae
Source: RNAcentral